RNAcentral lists this ribosomal RNA (4428 nucleotides) under Triticum aestivum (bread wheat). RNAcentral describes it as "partial small subunit ribosomal RNA". Lineage: Eukaryota; Viridiplantae; Streptophyta; Magnoliopsida; Poales; Poaceae. The record is from RNAcentral.
AUGCUGGGCGGCGGGGCGCGGAGGGGGGCGGGCCACGAGGAGGGGGAGCUCGAGCUCGAGGACAGCCAGGCGUUGGGCGGCGACGGCGGCAGCCCGGACGCGGGCGGCCACGAGCUCCUUGAUCCCGACUCGCUCACAUACAUCGAUGAAAGACUUCAAAAUGUGUUGGGUCAUUUCCAGAAGGACUUUGAAGGUGGAGUGCUUGCUGAAAACUCGGGGUCACUAUAUGGGGGUUAUGGUUCAUUCUUGCCUCCGAACCAGCAUUCCCCUUCUGUCGCAACUCAAUCUAGAAGCCCUGCAGUUCCACCAAACCGUGGCAGUGCCUCUAGAUCACCUUAUGUUCCAGUGGAGAGUGCACAGAAGAGCCAUUUUGUUAAGAAUGGAUUAGAUAGCAGGGGAAAGGAUGAUUAUUGUCAAAGAACAUCCAAUGGAACAAAUGGUAAUCCUCAGCAACGGAUGUUGAACAGAGCAGUGAAUGGUCCUGAACAAAAGGCGCCGAAAAUACAUAUCAAGGUGAACAACAAUAGACACUUGGCAAGAAAUACUGCUGCUAUCUACAGUGGUCUGGGCCUCGACAUUUCCCCUUCCUCUUCUAUGGAUGACAGCCUUGAUGGGUGCGCCGGGGCUCCUGAGCCGAAAAAUCUGCCCGACGAAUCUCCGCAUACCAUUUUGCAGAUAAUGACCUGCCAUCCUAUUCCUGGAGGACUCUUGCUUUCACCCCUUACAGAAAAUAUUCUGGCACUGAGAAAGAAGUCAGCAUCUGCAAGAAAGAAACACGAAGCACCUGCAUUUGAUGAUGACAAAACAGAAUUAAACCGAGACUGGUGUCAUACGACCUCUGCUGCACAAGGUGACCAAGGUCAGAUGGUGCAUAAAUAUAACUAUGAUGAAAAGAAGGAUCACCUUCUGAAUAUUAAGAGUUCAAAAAGCAAGCGUGACAAUUCAACGAUUAUGAAUAAUGGGACUAUGCCUGAUUUAUUGGAUAUUUCAGAUGAUCAAGAUUCAAUUGUACCUGGAAGUAUACAGACAGAACAACAUUCACUUGAGGCAUCAGCAAAAUUGGUGCCUGAUGUUUCAAAUCAUCUGAAUCUGAAGGAAACAAAGAAUGUUCCACUGAAAGGACGAAUUAGGGACAAGAUCCCUUUGAGAGAUAUUGAGUCAGUACAUGUAAAAGCUGUUAAUUUGGCAAAUGAUGGUAAUCACCCUAAGGGUAAAGCAAAUUCAGAAGCAUGUACAGCGAGAAAUAGCUUUGACAACUUGAGCAAGGACAGUAAGACAGAACCUACACUUGGUCAAGGACUUGUUGAUAAAGUCAAAUAUGAUUCUGAUGGAUACGAUCAUCGACUUUCUGCAACUUCAAGUCAACCAAACAAUCUUCCUCCUAGUGGUACUGCUACAUCAGCUGACAGAGACAAAAGAAAAGUGGUGCAUGUAAAAGAUGAACCAUCACAGUGCAAAAGGGAGGAAUCGGGGAGUCUAGUUAAUGCAGAUUCCAUGGAUAUUAUCACCGAAAAUGUAGGUGGAAAUCCUUCUGGAAUGCCGAAACGAAAAAUGAAAAUUUCCUCAUUGCAAACUGCUCCGUCCGGGAAGAAGCUCAAGGUUAAAGCACACAAGCAAUUGAGCAAUGGCAUCACUCGAAAAUCUCAUGGUGAAGAUAAGAGUGUGAAGCCUGAGAAGGAGACUGUUUCAUCCGGAGAAACUGAUAAUGGCAGGUCGGAUGGUGUAAAUGAUGGUGACCACAAGAUAUCUCACUUGAAUUUUGACAGAUCAGCUCCUGUGCCAUCAGCAUGCAUGACUGGAGCUAUGGAAUCAUCUGUGGCAGUGCCUGUGGAACCUGUUUUAAUAAACGAACAGUGGGUAUGUUGUGAUAAGUGUGAGAAAUGGCGCCUUUUACCCUAUUGGAUGAAUCCAGAUAUACUUCCAAAAAAAUGGCGGUGUAACAUGCAGAGUUGGUUGCAUGGAAUGAAUAACUGCAAAAUAAGCGAGGAUGAGACCACAAAAGCCCUUCGUGCAAUGCCCCCUGCACCUGAAAAUAAUAUUAGUGUGGAUGUUUGCCAUGAUAUUGCUACAUCAGGUGUAUGCGCAGCUACGAUUCCACCAACUAUCCAGGGCGAUAUAAAAUCCAUCGCUACAUCAGGGACACUGAAAGUUGAUUCCAGUGCAAAUACAUCAAAUAAUUUAAAGAUGGGUGAGAUGUCAAAAUCUUCGAAGAAGCUAGAGGCUCCUACAAGUAGAAAUCCUGAUGAUGUUGACUGCUUCCCUAAACAGAAGGGAAAACGGAAGCACAUAGGAUCGUCAGAUGAUGGUGAAACUGUUGCGGUAGACCGGCUGCAUCCAGAAUCGAAGAGCAGCCGUGUAGGGUUUGAUCAUGAUAGCCUUAGGGCAUCAAAGAAAAUGAACAAGGAACCUAAUGAGCCAGCCAAGCAUCAUCCCUCUGAGUUUGAGAUUAGCAAAAGCAGUCCUUCAGUCAAGGGAACUCCAAAAAGCUUACAUCGGUAUAGUGGUGUUUCACCUAGCACGGGAAAGUAUGGUUCAUCUUCAUUAGUUAAGUGCAAUGAUGAUAAAAUUAUCUCAAAUGGGGGCAUCAGGACUUCAGAUGUAGGACGAUCCGAUGUUCCAGAAUUGUCCAUUAAGAAUAGAAAAUCGAAACAAAGGCAACUAAGCAAGCGUGGUCCUGACCCUAUAGUUAGCAAUGCCCUUCCGAAGCAUACUGUGGAAGAAGCUUUAAGUGAAAGUAAUCAUGCCAAGGAAAACCCUAUGCCAGAGCUGAAUUUUUUGAAGGCAGCUGAUAGGAAAGUUGCCCAUGCCAGAGGCCCCAUUGCUGGAACUGAUAGUGACAAAGAGUGUUUAAGUGAGCAACACCAAGAGAAUACUCAUCUCCAGCAGCAUUCACUGCUCUCUCAAAACUCCAUGAAGAAAAAUAUGUGUUAUGCACAAGCAUCUGCAGCUGCUACCUCCAGUUCAUCUAAGGUGUCUAGCUCCCACAAGAGUAAAGUUGAUUUUCAAGAAACAAGGGCCUCUCCUGUAGAGUCAGUUUCUUCUUCACCCUUGAGAACUACGGAUAAGAAUCUUGUGGAUCAGCAUAAAAGGUAUCCAAGUGCAGUUGCAGAAAAAGUACUUUCUCAAGAAUCAGGGAAAAGCUGUUUGUCAUUUUCCAAGGAAAAAAAUGAUUUUGGAUCUGGUUCCGAUCAUGCUAAGGCUCAUGGUUCUGGCUGCCUCAGUGGAGAUAUGCAUCAUCAUGUUUUGAAGGAUGGGGAGUUGCAGAAGGAUAAACAAGACAAUGAAUGCUCAAAAAAUGAUGAUUCCGAACUUGGUACAAGGAAUGGUCUGCUGAAUCCAGUAAAGGUACAGAAAGUUAAUUCACAUGUCCUUUCAAUACGUGGCAAUGGUGAUGACAAACUGCCACCAUCCCUUCAAAACGGGAAAACAUCACCUCAUCUUAAUUCAAACCAAUGUGACCAUGCAAAGUUGACUUCUGGGAAACAUCCAGUACAGGUUAAGCCUGAUAAAGGGGAUGCAGAACAGAAGGAUAUGAAAACAAAUCCAUCAACUGUUAAAGGAAGCAAGCAGCAUCCAGCAUUAAAUGAUUCAUCAAAUGGCGAUCUUUCGUACAAGGCAAAGCAACUAAAGAAGGCUGUUCUCGAAAAUACAAAACAAGCAACUCUUAGUCGUGAUGCUUUGAAUCCAGUAAACACAUCUGUGCUACUGAAGGAGGCUCGGGAUUUGAAGCACUUGUCUAAACGUUUAAAGGAAAAGGGAGAUGACCUUGAGAGUGCUAACAUGUGCUUUGAGGCUGGCCUGAAAUUUCUCCAUGUUGCAUCUCUGUUGGAAGCUCCGAGUAUUGAUAGCUCCAAGCAAGGGGAUUCUAUACAAGCUAUUAGACUAUAUUCUGAAACAGGAAACCUCUGUGGAUUUUGUGCCCGUGAAUUUGAGCGACUUAAGAAAAUGGCAAGUGCUGCUUUGGCCUAUAAAUGUGUGGAAGUGGCAUAUAUGAAGGCUGCCUUCUACAAGCAUCCUGGUGCUAUUAAAGAUAAACAUGCAUUGCAAGCAACAUCUUUGAUGGUUCCUCCAGCUGAGUCACCGUCAUCUUCUGCCUCAGAUGUUGAUAAUCUGAAUAACCAGAGUACAGCUGCUAAGGCUAUUUCAAGAGCUUUGUACUCUCCUAAAAUUGGUGGCAAUUCCAUACCCCGGAACAAUCAUCACUUGAUGGGGUUGCUUGCUUAUGCAGAUGACAUAAAUUAUGCAUUUGAUGGAACCAGAAAAUCACAAAGUUCAUUAGCUGCUUAUGUUACUGAUAUGGGAAAUGGUCAGGCUGAGGGUAUUGCUCUUGUUAGGGAAGUCCUUGAAUUCAGUUUUCACAAUGUCAAGGGCCUGCUACAACUGAUUCGCCAUUCAUUGGAAUCUAUCAACCAUGAAAGUGUUAAAUAA